RNAcentral lists this ribosomal RNA (450 nucleotides) under uncultured bacterium. Its description in RNAcentral is "bacterial SSU rRNA". It matches the Rfam family "Bacterial small subunit ribosomal RNA", at positions 335 to 801 of the family's 1533-position model. The record is from RNAcentral.
ACUCCUACGGGAGGCAGCAGUGGGGAAUAUUGCACAAUGGGCGCAAGCCUGAUGCAGCAACGCCGUGUGAGUGAAGAAGGUUUUCGGAUCGUAAAACUCUGUCCUAAGGGAAGAAACAAAUGACGGUACCUUAGGAGGAAGCCCCGGCUAACUACGUGCCAGCAGCCGCGGUAAUACGUAGGGGGCAAGCGUUAUCCGGAAUCACUGGGCGUAAAGGGUGCGUAGGCGGCUUAGCAAGCCAGGGGUGAAAGGCAUUGGCUCAACCAAUGUAAGCCUUUGGAACUGUUAAGCUUGAGUGCAGGAGAGGUAAGUGGAAUUCCUAGUGUAGAGGUGAAAUUCGUAGAUAUUAGGAGGAAUACCAGUGGCGAAGGCGGCCCCCUGGACAAAGACUGACGCUCAGAUGCGAAAGCGUGGGGAGCAAACAGGAUUAGAUACCCUGGUAGCUACGAG